Molecule: transfer RNA, 81 nt
Filed under: Paragonimus westermani
Lineage: Eukaryota; Metazoa; Platyhelminthes; Trematoda; Plagiorchiida; Troglotrematidae
Description: tRNA-Asn
Rfam family: tRNA
About the family: Transfer RNA (tRNA) molecules are approximately 80 nucleotides in length. Their secondary structure includes four short double-helical elements and three loops (D, anti-codon, and T loops). Further hydrogen bonds mediate the characteristic L-shaped molecular structure. tRNAs have two regions of fundamental functional importance: the anti-codon, which is responsible for specific mRNA codon recognition, and the 3' end, to which the tRNAs corresponding amino acid is attached (by aminoacyl-tRNA synthetases). tRNAs cope with the degeneracy of the genetic code in two manners: having more than one tRNA (with a specific anti-codon) for a particular amino acid; and 'wobble' base-pairing, i.e. permitting non-standard base-pairing at the 3rd anti-codon position.
Source: RNAcentral
GGCUUCGUAGCUCAGCUGGUAGGGCGCUUGCCGCGUUGAGGCAUGCCGUGUCUGUCGCUGGUUCGAGUCCAGCAGAAGCCC